GUUAAUUACAUUCACAUUCACAUGCCAGCAACACAAGACAACAAAAAAGUGUUGGGGGCCGGCUGCAACAUUUCCUUCUCAAGCACAUGCCCCCAAGUCCCCAACUGCCCAGCCCAAUUCAAUCGUAAUCAACAUUCAAUAUUUAUUUAUGCUGAACAAAUCAACAUUUUUGCAGUGAUUGCACCAUACCUAAUUACCUACACCAUUCUCGACUGGACCCCUUCCCAUAAUCAUGCCAUUAUCCAUCAAUGUAAUAAAUUAAGGAAACUAAAAGAUUCAACAUUAUUCCAAUGAUGAAAACUCAGGUUCAGUAGACUUCACAUGAAGUUGAUAACUAAGAACUGUUAAAUGAUUUUACUGGUUCGACUAAAUUUUUAUCUAACAGCUCUCAACUAUCAACUAUCAACUAUCAACUUCACUUCACGUAAAGUCGACUCCGCUGAACAAAAUGUUUUCACUCAUUGAGUACGUGCCAACUAGUGGAACUGCUUAGAAGCAAAGAGAGUGUGCCAGACAUAUAAGCUGCUGCCAUUCACACAUGUAUGAAUGAGGCCGAGGCAAGGAGCAAGGGAGUGGAUUAGAACAUUUUCCCAGUGGCUAAAACACGACAAAAGCGUUUGAUGUUGAAAGGAAACAAAAUUUAUGUAUGGUCCAAUCCAACAUGAAUCAGAAGCCGCGUUGAGCGCAUGGGGGGUCCUACUCCUAACCCCACUCCAAGACUCCCAGUACUCUCUCUCUCUCUCUCACUUUGACUCAAGGAGAAAAAUAAAAGCACCUUCUUUUUUGUUACCGUGCUUUUAAUCGCCUUGUUUAACGGAAAUAGCUACUAGCUAGUGACCUAAACGACAAUAAUUAGUAAAAUCUGCUAGCAUAAUUGGUGAUUUGGUGAGUGAUAUUGAUAACGCCAUUAUGGGCUUUACGAAAAGGUCCUUAUACUUUAGAGGAGAAAAGCAUUCGAUGAAAGGCGGGAACAAUGUCUAAUAAGUAAUAAGGUCAUUUCGCAUCCCUAAGAUUAUAUACCAAAAAAUUCCAAAAAGUCCUUUCAUUGGGUCCCAUAUGCUUAAGUUGCCAUGCCUUCUUUUAUGCAUCUCGAGGCUAGUUAUGAUUUUCCACUCCUACUGUUUACACUCUACUACUUUUUCUUUCUUGUUUUUUUUUUUACAAGUUUAGCUUAGCUGUCUGAAACUAAGAUAUAAUCACUGUGAAUAUUGCCUACAGUCAACUAUUGUGGUUUUAAGAAAUUAAGAAGCGCGUAAUUAUAGCAUUAUACCAACUUUAUGAGUUCAUUAAAUUCGUAGCCUCAAUUCUAUAAAGUAUAAACUUCUAACAUUUUUCAAUUAGUGUAAAUAUCCUCAUUAAAAAAUGCCAAAAGCAAAAGCAAAAAGUAUUAUCUUAAAAACAAUUACUGGAAAUUACUAUCUUUUUAACUAUUCGCUUGCAACUUGGCCACUUUAAUUUUCAUCAUGUUUUCUAGCAGAUCUUUUUGUUCAUUCCUAUUUUUGGGCACAAUUUUACCUUCAUCCUUGAAACUAUUAAAGGAGGAAAAAGAAGAAAAUAGAAAAUGACAUGAAAUUGAAAGGAGGAAAGCUACCCUCACCCACAUUUAAAAUUAAAAGAGAUAUACUAUUCUGUACAAUUAAAAAAGUAAUCAACAUCUGUUCUAUUUUGAGUUGUUAGUUGUUACUUGUUACUAUACAGUUUUAAUACCAAAAAAAAAAAAAGACAGUGAAAAAUGCAGAGUCGGUGGAGAACAGAACAUAGAAAUGAGACUUGUUAGUUCACUUCAUCUAGAGCUAGAAGAGCUUAACCAACCAAA
Arachis ipaensis is the source of this 1816-nucleotide non-coding RNA. NCBI's taxonomy places the organism in Eukaryota, Viridiplantae, Streptophyta, Magnoliopsida, Fabales, Fabaceae. The record is from RefSeq and is a predicted model, not a curated record.